CUCACGCUCCUGGAGCGGCCGAUAUCUGAUUAGCUAGUAGGUAGGGUAAAGGCCUACCUAGGCGACGAUCAGUAGCUGGUCUGAGAGGACGACCAGCCACACUGGAACUGAGACACGGUCCAGACUCCUACGGGAGGCAGCAGUGGGGAAUUUUGGACAAUGGGGGCAACCCUGAUCCAGCAAUGCCGCGUGAGUGAAGAAGGCCUUCGGGUUGUAAAGCUCUUUUGUCAGGGAAGAAACGGGUUCGGAUAAUACCUGGGCCUAAUGACGGUACCUGAAGAAUAAGCACCGGCUAACUACGUGCCAGCAGCCGCGGUAAUACGUAGGGUGCAAGCGUUAAUCGGAAUUACUGGGCGUAAAGCGUGCGCAGGCGGUUUUAUAAGUUUGUCGUGAAAGCCCCGGGCUCAACCUGGGAAUGGCGAUGAAGACUGUAAGGCUAGAGUGUGUCAGAGGGGGGUAGAAUUCCACGUGUAGCAGUGAAAUGCGUAGAUAUGUGGAGGAACACCGAUGGCGAAGGCAGCCCCCUGGGAUAACACUGACGCUCAUGCACGAAAGCGUGGGGAGCAAACAGGAUUAGAUACCCUGGUAGUCCACGCCCUAAACGAUGUCUACUAGUUGUCGGGUCUUAAUUGACUUGGUAACGCAGCUAACGCGUGAAGUAGACCGCCUGGGGAGUACGGUCGCAAGAUUAAAACUCAAAGG
Molecule: ribosomal RNA, 702 nt
Filed under: uncultured bacterium
Lineage: Bacteria
Description: bacterial SSU rRNA
Rfam family: Bacterial small subunit ribosomal RNA
Source: RNAcentral